CCUACGGGAGGCUGCAGUAGGGAAUAUUGCUCAAUGGGGGAAACCCUGAAGCAGCAACGCCGCGUGGAGGAUGAAGGUUUUCGGAUUGUAAACUCCUUUUGUUAGGGAAGAAAAUGACGGUAUCUAACGAAUAAGCACCGGCUAACUACGUGCCAGCAGCCGCGGUAAUCCGGCGGGUGCAAGCGUUACUCCGAAUCACUGGGCGUAAAGAGCGCGUAGGCGGGAUAGCAAGGCAGAUGUGAAAUCCUAGGGCUUAACCAUAGAACUGCAGUUGAAACUGUUAUUCUAGAGUAUGGGAGAGGUAGGUGGAAUGCGUGGUGUAGGGGUGAAAUCCGUAGAGAUCAAGAAGAAUACUCAUUGCGAAGGCGACAUGCUGGAACAUAACUGACGCUGAUGCGCGAAAGCGUGGGGAGCGAACAGGAUUAGAUACCCUAGUAGUC
This 440-nucleotide ribosomal RNA is filed under the name uncultured bacterium. RNAcentral describes it as "partial 16S ribosomal RNA". It matches the Rfam family "Bacterial small subunit ribosomal RNA", at positions 338 to 795 of the family's 1533-position model. The record is from RNAcentral.